This 474-nucleotide ribosomal RNA is filed under the name Porphyromonas endodontalis. Its description in RNAcentral is "bacterial SSU rRNA". It matches the Rfam family "Bacterial small subunit ribosomal RNA", at positions 32 to 493 of the family's 1533-position model. Lineage: Bacteria; Pseudomonadati; Bacteroidota; Bacteroidia; Bacteroidales; Porphyromonadaceae. The record is from RNAcentral.
GAUGACGCUAGCGAUAGCUUAACACAUGCAGUCGGAGGGCAGCAUAUCUUAGCUUGCUUAAGAUAGAUGGCGACCGGCGCACGGGUGCGUAACGCGUAUGCAACCUGCCUGUAAUUAGGGAAUAACCCGGUGAAAGUCGGACUAAUACCCUAUAUUCUUCUUUCUCCGCAUGGAGGAGGACGGAAAGAUUUAUUGAUUACAGAUGGGCAUGCGUCCCAUUAGCUGGUUGGUAAGGUAACGGCUUACCAAGGCAACGAUGGGUAGGGGGACUGAGAGGUUGACCCCCCACACUGGUACUGAGACACGGACCAGACUCCUACGGGAGGCAGCAGUGAGGAAUAUUGGUCAAUGGGCGAGAGCCUGAACCAGCCAAGUCGCGUGAAGGAGGACGGUUCUAUGGAUUGUAAACUUCUUUUGUAGAGGAAUAACGGCAGCUACGUGUAGCUGAGAUGCAUGUACUCUACGAAUAAUAUC